Molecule: unclassified non-coding RNA, 378 nt
Filed under: plant metagenome
Description: partial contains 5.8S ribosomal RNA, internal transcribed spacer 2, and large subunit ribosomal RNA
Rfam family: 5.8S ribosomal RNA (bases 1-105)
Source: RNAcentral
GAAAUGCGAUAAGUAAUGUGAAUUGCAGAAUUCGGUGAAUCAUCGAAUCUUUGAACGCACCUUGCGCUCCUUGGUAUUCCUUGGAGCAUGCCUGUUUGAGUAUCAUGAAAUCUUUAAAGUAAAUCUUUUGUUAACUCAAUUGGUUUCUACUUUGGUAUUGGAGGACUUUGCAGCUUCACACCUGCUCCUCUUUGUUCAUUAGCUGGAUCUCAGUGUUAUGCUUGGUUCCACUCGGCGUGAUAAGUUAUCUAUCGCUGAGGACACUGUAAAAGGUGGCCAAGGUAAAUGCAGAUGAACCGCUUCUAAUAGUCCAUUGACUUGGACAAUACUUUUAUGAUCUGAUCUCAAAUCAGGUAGGACUACCCGCUGAACUUAAGC